GCCACCUUAUGAGAAAUCAAAGUUUUUGUGUUCUGGGGGGAGUAUGGUCUCAAGGCUGAAACUUAAAGGAAUUGACGGAAGGGCACCACCAUGUGUGGAGCCUGCGGCUUUAUUUGACUCAACACGGGGAAACUUACAAGGUCCAAACAUAGUAAGGAUUGACAGACUGAGAGCUCUUUCUUGAUUCUACUGGUGGUGGUGCAUGGCCGUUCUUAGUUGGUGAGCGAUUUGUCUGGUUAAUUCCGUUAACGAAUGAGACCAAAUCCUGCUAACUAGCUAUGCGGAGGUAUCCCUUCUCGGCAAGCUUCUUAGAGGGACUACGGCCUUUUAGGCCGCAGAUGUUUGAGGCAAUAACAGGUCUGUGAUGCCCUUAGAUGUUAUAGGUCGCACGCGCGCUACACUUAUUAUUCAACGAGCUUAUAGCCUUGGCCAACAGGCCCGGGUAAUCUUUGAAAUUUCAUCGUGAUAGGGAUAUAUCAUUGCAUUUAUUGGUUUUCAACGAGGAAUUCCUAGUAAGCGUGAGUCAUCAGCUCCUGUUGACUACGUCCCUGCCCUAUGUACACACCGCCCGUCGCUCUUACCGAUUGAAUAAUUUAGUGAAAUGUUCGAAUCGCGGCGACAUGGGCAGUUUGCUGCCCGCGAAGUCGUGAGAAGUCCAUUGAACCUUAUCAUUUAGAGGAAGGAGAAGUCGUAACAAGGUUUCCAUAGGUAAACCUGCGGAAGGAUCAUUG
Molecule: non-coding RNA, 731 nt
Organism: Solanum lycopersicum (tomato)
Lineage: Eukaryota; Viridiplantae; Streptophyta; Magnoliopsida; Solanales; Solanaceae
Source: Rfam